UGGUCUUCGCUGCCAGAAUCUAAGUGGAAAGGAAAGAUUAGGAGAUUCCAAACGGAGCAGCCAGAUUCCACCAGGGAGGGGGGAAAAAAGCCCUCUCCAAGAGGGGUAGAAAAAGUGAACUUCAAGAAUUUUUGAGAAAAACUGAUUUGCAUUGGAGGGGAAACUACAAAUGCUGACUGCUUCAAUCAUGCACAAUUGUGGAAAGAAAGCAAGAUCUGCAGUGCAAAUUAAUAUAUUAAAAGUCAAGAGAAGUCUACUAGGAAACAAAUCAUUAACCUGUAUUAAUCCUAGUAUAUCCCAAAUGUUUUUAGCCCUCAAUUUCCCUUUUUAUAAUACAUACUGAACACUCUUUGUUACACUGUUGCAACGCAUUUUCUAAAUUCCAAAAGUAAAAUUAUUAUUUUUGUUGUUGUUGUUGAUUUCUCUUCUGUUUUUUGAUAUUUCUAUUAGCCAGAUCACAAAUCUGUAUGCUGGAAUAUCAUAUCUGGAGAGAAAUUCUGGUUUGUGCUGUAAUAGAAAUUUCUAAUCUCCAUUUUGAACUUCUGUGAUGGAAGAAAGAUCUAUCACUAAGCAAUAAACAUGUUUUCAUUUU
This 592-nucleotide long non-coding RNA is filed under the name Homo sapiens (human). Its description in RNAcentral is "non-protein coding lnc-HPGDS-10:1". The record is from RNAcentral. Lineage: Eukaryota; Metazoa; Chordata; Mammalia; Primates; Hominidae.